ACUAAGCGUUCACAACGCUCACGCUCACGACCGCUGAUUUCCCCAUUCCACUUGAUUGUGAAUGUUACUGUCGUUAACUCAAGUGGAAUGGAUUAUGGAGCGUUUCGGGCGUUCAUGUAAAUAUUACAAAUGGCAAGUUUGAAAAUAGUAGAAGUUUAAGGAGGUUAGGUAAUCCUAAACAAUAAGUUUUAAUAUUUGUGACUUAAAUUUAUUUAUGUUAAAAGUGAAGAAUAAUUGAAUAUUUUAUAAAUAAUUUUGGUGAAGUUAUCAAACAACUUAAGUUUAAAUAUAAUCGAAAUGGCUUUGACGGCAGUUGGAUAUUUGCUAAUGCAUCGCAAUAAAGCUCCAGAAACUAGUUCAUCUAGCUCAGAUGAAGAAUGGGAUGCAAUUAUAAAAAAUUAUAAUCGUGAAAACCGACAACUUAGGCCACGUAUUAUUGACUAUGAAAAUGUAAUUUUUCGCUAUUCGGAUGAAGAAUUUAAAAGUCAUUUCAGGCGUAGAUUAUACUCUAAAGUUAUUUUACUCUUUAAUUUACUUCAUUAUGUCUAAGUAAUUAUUUCAUUGAUGGAAUAAGAUUGAAUGAAGAAAUAAAAUUUCAAGGAACACAUU
Molecule: long non-coding RNA, 609 nt
Organism: Cotesia glomerata
Lineage: Eukaryota; Metazoa; Arthropoda; Insecta; Hymenoptera; Braconidae
Exons: 3
Source: RefSeq, a predicted model, not a curated record